UACAGAGGUCUCAAGCGUUGUUCGGAUUCAUUGGGCGUAAAGGGCGCGUAGGCGGGCGAGCAAGUCGAAGGUGAAAUCCCACAGCUUAACUGUGGAAGUGCCCCCGAUACUGCUUGUCUGGAGGGAGAUAGGGGCGUGCGGAACUUCCGGUGGAGCGGUGAAAUGCGUAGAUAUCGGAAGGAACACCGGUGGCGAAAGCGGCACGCUGGAUCUCUACUGACGCUGAGGCGCGAAAGCCAGGGGAGCAAACGGG
This 253-nucleotide ribosomal RNA is filed under the name uncultured bacterium. RNAcentral's name for it is "partial 16S ribosomal RNA". It matches the Rfam family "Bacterial small subunit ribosomal RNA", at positions 524 to 776 of the family's 1533-position model. The record is from RNAcentral.